GUGCCAGCAGCCGCGGUAAUACGUAGGUGGCAAGCGUUGUCCGGAAUUAUUGGGCGUAAAGCGCGCGCAGGCGGCUAUGUAAGUCUGAUGUUAAAGCCCGAGGCUCAACCUCGGUUCGCAUUGGAAACUGCGUAGCUUGAGUGCAGAAGAGGAAAGCGGUAUUCCACGUGUAGCGGUGAAAUGCGUAGAGAUGUGGAGGAACACCAGUGGCGAAGGCGGCUUUCUGGUCUGUAACUGACGCUGAGGCGCGAAAGCGUGGGGAGCAAACAGGAUUAGAAACCCUUGUAGUCC
This 291-nucleotide ribosomal RNA is filed under the name uncultured bacterium. RNAcentral describes it as "partial 16S ribosomal RNA". It matches the Rfam family "Bacterial small subunit ribosomal RNA", at positions 505 to 796 of the family's 1533-position model. The record is from RNAcentral.